This 355-nucleotide transfer-messenger RNA is filed under the name Acutalibacteraceae. RNAcentral describes it as "UBA1081 sp900543395 Standard tmRNA". It matches the Rfam family "transfer-messenger RNA". Rfam says of the family: Bacterial tmRNA, also known as 10Sa RNA or SsrA, is named for its dual tRNA and mRNA-like properties. Its role is to liberate the mRNA from a stalled ribosome. To accomplish this part of the tmRNA is used as a reading frame that ends in a translation stop signal. The record is from RNAcentral. RNAcentral also lists the same sequence under 1 other name. Lineage: Bacteria; Bacillati; Bacillota; Clostridia; Eubacteriales.
GGGGAUGAAAGGAUUUCGACGGGGAUCCGGAAUUUCGGUAAGCGGGCAGAGAAGUGGGCUCUCUUUAAAAUCCACAACGUUUAAAUAAUAAACGACAACAAUAAAACAGUUUUAGCAGCUGCUUAAUUGCAGCCGCCGUUCCCCCCGGGAGUACCGCGGCCCGGACGGGAGCGUCAUUCAGCGGUGAACGUGAACAGACACAGCGUUUCGUAAUCUGUCAUGCAUAACGAAACUGCCCGAACGUAAGCCUGCCGACAGGCUCGCGCAAGGGGAGAAAAAAAUAUAUCGGCUACGCUCGUAGAAAGCCGGGAGGAUGGGUUUUCGGACAGGGGUUCGACUCCCCUCAUCUCCACCA